This 254-nucleotide ribosomal RNA is filed under the name uncultured bacterium. RNAcentral describes it as "partial 16S ribosomal RNA". It matches the Rfam family "Bacterial small subunit ribosomal RNA", at positions 524 to 776 of the family's 1533-position model. The record is from RNAcentral.
UACGGGGGGAGCAAGCGUUGUUCGGAUUUACUGGGCGUAAAGGGCGCGUAGGCGGCCAGCACAAGUCAGUUGUCAAAUCUCCGAGCUUAACUCGGAAAGGUCAACUGAUACUGUGCGGCUAGAGUGCGGAAGGGGCAACUGGAAUUCUUGGUGUAGCGGUGAAAUGCGUAGAUAUCAAGAGGAACACCUGCGGCGAAGGCGGGUUGCUGGGCCGACACUGACGCUCAUGCACGAAAGCGUGGGGAGCAAACAGG